UUUCAUUUAGGUUGUAACACUUUUUGGUAGACAACGUUUUCGCGUAAAUGAAUAAUGACGAUGGUUUGCCUACUCGUGAGCAAGCUACAUACAAUUGUCCAUGAGAAAAAAUUAUUAAUUGUCAUAGCGAAGGCAAGGCGAAUGGGAACUGCAAACGUUUGAAAUCGAAUGGUAAAUCCGUUGGAAUCAGUGGAAUUCUGGGUAUCAAAACAUCUUCUCCUUUGUACUUCCUUUUCAAAAUUGUUGCUUCGAUAACGUUACCCAUUCGCUUCUUCACAGCGAGUCUGGUACCGUUUCAAAGUCGUGGCACAUUAAUGUUGCGCAGCAUAUAAUCGUUGCAUAUAAUCACCAGCUAAAAGUGCUCUUUCGCUGAGCCAAUCAUGGUUUUUGUAGUGUUGAACUAUGUUUGGAAAUACACUCUGUAUCAAUGUAAUAUCGUAAUUAUUCCUGUUGGAUCGACAGACAUUUGGCCAUUUCCGAUUUUCACCCUUUUUGGGAGAAUAUAAAUAAGUUUUAAAAUUAUGCCAAAGACAUACAAAAUAAUAAUCAUAACCUAUUGUAUACAUAUAUCAAAAGAAAAAUAAGUUUUAAACUCCUAGAUAAAUACAAAUGUAUGUUAGGAUAAUGCUAAAUAAUCUAAUUUUAUCAUAACUUUGUAAACUCCUAUGUUAAAAUGA
Long non-coding RNA from Anastrepha obliqua, 677 nucleotides. RefSeq lists it as uncharacterized. NCBI's taxonomy places the organism in Eukaryota, Metazoa, Arthropoda, Insecta, Diptera, Tephritidae. The record is from RefSeq and is a predicted model, not a curated record. The transcript is spliced from 3 exons.